Molecule: ribosomal RNA, 497 nt
Filed under: uncultured bacterium
Lineage: Bacteria
Description: partial 16S ribosomal RNA
Rfam family: Bacterial small subunit ribosomal RNA
Source: RNAcentral
GAUGAACGCUGGCGGCGUGCCUAAUACAUGCCAGUCGAGCGAACAGACGAGGAGCUUGCUCCUCUGACGUUAGCGGCGGACGGGUGAGUAACACGUGGAUAACCUACCUAUAAGACUGGGAUAACUUCGGGAAACCGGAGCUAAUACCGGAUAAUAUAUUGAACCGCAUGGUUCAAUAGUGAAAGACGGUUUUGCUGUCUCUUAUAGAUGGAUCCGCGCCGCAUUAGCUAGUUGGUAAGGUAACGGCUUACCAAGGCAACGAUGCGUAGCCGACCUGAGAGGGUGAUCGGCCACACUGGAACUGAGACACGGUCCAGACUCCUACGGGAGGCAGCAGUAGGGAAUAUUCCGCAAUGGGCGAAAGCCUGACGGAGCAACGCCGCGUGAGUGAUGAAGGUCUUCGGAUCGUAAAACUCUGUUAUUAGGGAAGAACAAAUGUGUAAGUAACUAUGCACGUCUUGACGGUACCUAAUCAGAAAGCCACGGCUAACUACGUG